AAAAACUCAAUUUCUGGGUUUCCGUAUCCAACAUUUAACCAUUCGUCUUAUUUAAAAAAGUAUAAAAAAAAUUAAAAAGAUAAGUCGUGCAUAAAGUAUUAUUUAUGUUUUAUCAUCUAACAAUAAUAAAAAUACUAAUUAUAAAAAAAAUUCAUAUAAGACGGACGGUCAAACGUUGGACACAAAAACCGAAGAAUUUGGUUUUU
Oryza glumipatula is the source of this 206-nucleotide non-coding RNA. Lineage: Eukaryota; Viridiplantae; Streptophyta; Magnoliopsida; Poales; Poaceae. The record is from Rfam.